AAAUCUGUCAAUCCCCUGAGUGCAAUCACUGAUGUCUCCAUGUCUCUGAGCAAUGCCUGAUGGGGAGGGAUCUAGGCAUGCCAUCCCAGCGUGCUCGGUGGGACCAGGGUAGUCAGCUGAGGGAUGUUAGAGUUGAUUGUCCUUCAGCCUGUUAGUGGGAACUGUGUUCUUUCCCCUGAGGGGUUGUUCAUGAGGACCUCCGCCUGCUCUUGGAGACCCACCUGCCGUCCAAAAAGAAGAAAGUACUCUUGGGAGUUGGGGAUCCCAAGAUUGGUGCUGCAAUACAGGAGGAGUUAGGGUACAACUGCCAGACUGGAGGAGUCAUAGCUGAGAUCCUGCGAGGAGUUCGUCUGCACUUCCACAAUCUGGUGAAGGGUCUGACCGAUCUGUCAGCUUGUAAAGCACAGCUGGGGCUGGGACACAGCUAUUCCCGUGCCAAAGUUAAGUUUAAUGUGAACCGGGUGGACAAUAUGAUCAUCCAGUCCAUUAGCCUCCUGGACCAGCUGGAUAAGGACAUCAAUACCUUCUCUAUGCGUGUCAGGGAGUGGUACGGGUAUCACUUUCCGGAGCUGGUGAAGAUCAUCAACGACAAUGCCACAUACUGCCGUCUUGCCCAGUUUAUUGGAAACCGAAGGGAACUGAAUGAGGACAAGCUGGAGAAGCUGGAGGAGCUGACAAUGGAUGGGGCCAAGGCUAAGGCUAUUCUGGAUGCCUCACGGUCCUCCAUGG
This 729-nucleotide small RNA is filed under the name Pan troglodytes (chimpanzee). RNAcentral's name for it is "processed transcript". The stretch from base 1 to 53 matches the Rfam family "Small nucleolar RNA SNORD110", at positions 19 to 71 of the family's 71-position model. The record is from RNAcentral. Lineage: Eukaryota; Metazoa; Chordata; Mammalia; Primates; Hominidae.